UGGCUCAUUAAAUCAGUUAUCGUUUAUUUGAUAGUACCUUACUACUUGGAUACCCGUGGUAAUUCUAGAGCUAAUACAUGCAAAAAACCCCAACUUCGGAAGGGGUGUAUUUAUUAGAUAAAAAACCAAUGCCCUUCGGGGCUCUUUGGUGAUUCAUGAUAACUUAACGGAUCGCAUGGCCUUGCGCCGGCGACGGUUCAUUCAAAUUUCUGCCCUAUCAACUUUCGAUGGUAAGGUAUUGGCUUACCAUGGUUUCAACGGGUAACGGAUUUUUAGGGAAAGAUCCCGGAGAGGGAGCCUGAGAAACGGCUACCACAUCCAAGGAAGGCAGCAGGCGCGCAAAUUACCCAAUCCCGACACGGGGAGGUAGUGACAAUAAAUACUGAUACAGGGCUCUUUUGGGUCUUGUAAUCGGAAUGAGUACAAUUUAAAUACCUUAACGAGGAACAAUUGGAGGGCAAGUCUGGUGCCAGCAGCCGCGGUAAUUCCAGCUCCAAUAGCGUAUAUUAAAGUUGUUGCAGUUAAAAAGCUCGUAGUUGAACCUUGGGCCUGGCUGGCCGGUCCGCCUCACCGCGUGUACUGGUCCGGCCGGGCCUUUCCUUCUGGAGAACCGCAUGCCCUUCACUGGGUGUGUCGGGGAACCAGGACUUUUACUUUGAGAAAAUUAGAGUGUUCAAAGCAGGCCUUUGCUCGAAUACGUUAGCAUGGAAUAAUAGAAUAGGACGUGCGGUCCUAUUUUGUUGGUUUCUAGAACCGCCGUAAUGAUUAAUAGGGAUAGUCGGGGGCGUCAGUAUUCAAUUGUCAGAGGUGAAAUUCUUGGAUCUAUUGAAGACUAACUACUGCGAAAGCAUUCGCCAAGGAUGUUUUCAUUAAUCAGUGAACGAAAGUUAGGGGAUCGAAGACGAUCAGAUACCGUCGUAGUCUUAACCGUAAACUAUGC
RNAcentral lists this ribosomal RNA (940 nucleotides) under Pseudoneoconiothyrium rosae. Its description in RNAcentral is "SSU rRNA". It matches the Rfam family "Eukaryotic small subunit ribosomal RNA", at positions 94 to 1042 of the family's 1831-position model. Lineage: Eukaryota; Fungi; Ascomycota; Dothideomycetes; Pleosporales; Thyridariaceae. The record is from RNAcentral.